Mobula hypostoma (lesser devil ray) is the source of this 1647-nucleotide long non-coding RNA. RefSeq lists it as uncharacterized. The record is from RefSeq and is a predicted model, not a curated record. NCBI's taxonomy places the organism in Eukaryota, Metazoa, Chordata, Chondrichthyes, Myliobatiformes, Myliobatidae. The transcript is spliced from 3 exons.
UGACUCCUCUGUUGACGGCGGUGGGGGAGGGGCCGGUCACGUGAUUAGUAGCCCAGCCGUUAAACCGACCAAGCUCGAGCUCACCAGCGCGCGGUGCACAAAAGGCCCCGGAUGAUCGGUUGAGGGCAGAAAUGGCAAAGGAUUUGUGUAUGGGAAUCUCAAACACAACAGCACGUUAGUCCCGCUGUAUCUGUCAGUUCACCAGCGCUUGAAUGCCGCCGAUCCUUGAAUGUGGAGACGGAGAUGCUGGAGAAGACAGCGCCCCACUCGCUACAAGGAGAGCCCGGUCACGUGUCCAUGUCCGUGAUCUGAUUGGAUACAUUGCCAUGACGUUAUAGCAGUGUGACGUCAUUCACCGGCUCUCAUUUUGGAAGGGAUUCAGUGGGACAUCCCAGAUACACCAACAGCUUCUCACUGGGAAGCGGCCGUUCACCUGCUCCGUGUGUGCGAAGAGAUUCAUUCAGUUAACCCACCUUGUGAUGCUCCGGGCUCAGGACGAAGUUGGUUAAACUCCUUCUUCCCUGCUGUUUUGAAUGUUUGGGUCAUUUUCACUCAUUUCAAAGGACUGUGCUUCAGACAGCUGGGUUGUUGCAAUGCACCUCUAAAGUUUGGCAGCAGACUGGCGAGUGAAGCUUUGAAUCUGCAGAGUCAGAAACCAAAGGGUUGCCAGCCUGAGUCAGGGCUCUGGGGCUCAAGAGAGAGAUGGGGUCUGGAGUUUACGAGGAGGAAGAGGAAUGAGACCAGCAUGAUGUGGCAACAAAUGAAAGAUCAGAAACAUUUGGAAACAGCUUCAUCGAAAAAAAAAUGGUUAUUUUUUGCAAAUUACUGGUGGAAAUCAACAGAUCAGGCAGCAAAUGUGGAGAGAAUAAAUAGACAACAUUUAGGCCGAGCCCCUUUCAGCAUGCCUAGACUGUAUACUCCUCUGCUUAGCUGCUGCCUGAACUGCAGAGUUCCUCCAGCAUCUUGUGUCUGUGCGUCUCUGUAUUUCCAGCAACUGCAGAAUCUCGUGUUUCAUAUCUGUAUUUGUAAGAGGAUUGUACUUUGGCAUUAGAUACACGUUGAUAUUGAGUAAAUUGUUUAUGGGAGCCACUUUCUGCGUUAAAACAGCCGCUGAAUUUUCUAUACACACAAAAAAACUGAGAUAUGGACAUGAAACCGGUGUUUGCAGAAACUGUUAAUGGCACCGUGAUUACCCAUAAACCCCUGCGUCUGAAGUUUCGCUGUCGCUGAAGCGCCGAUCAAAUGCGCAGGCGUCUGGGUUGAUGACGUUCGAAUUCACGCAUGCGCACAGUAUACAGAGGGCCUCGGGAGGAUCAGUACAGGUAAGAGGAAAUUUGCGGGCGAUUAUUUGUCAACACCGACUUCGGGACAAUUGCUGUGACUCCGGACACCGUGACCCGCAAUCCCGGGACAGUCCUGCUCUCUUCCCUCUCUCUCAGCCCCACCAUCCGUACACGGGCCCCGGGGAGCUUCCGGCUGAUGAGGGAAUGGGAACCGAUGGAUCUCUCAGACAGAGCUGAGCUCCAGCUGUCUAAAUGCAAGGAUCGGGAACUCGGAGAAAGGGAACAAAAUCUUUUACAUCAGCUGUUGAGAAAAUCACCUUUGUUCUGCCUCCAGUCACAAACAAGAGAAAAUCUGCAGAUGCUG